RNAcentral lists this ribosomal RNA (3086 nucleotides) under Salmonella enterica subsp. enterica serovar Infantis str. SARB27. RNAcentral describes it as "bacterial LSU rRNA". It matches the Rfam family "Bacterial large subunit ribosomal RNA". Lineage: Bacteria; Pseudomonadati; Pseudomonadota; Gammaproteobacteria; Enterobacterales; Enterobacteriaceae. The record is from RNAcentral.
UUAAGCGACUAAGCGUACACGGUGGAUGCCCUGGCAGUCAGAGGCGAUGAAGGGCGUGCUAAUCUGCGAUAAGCGCCGGUAAGGUGAUAUGAACCGUUAUAACCGGCGAUACCCGAAUGGGGAAACCCAGUGUGACUCGUCACACUAUCAUUAACUGAAUCCAUAGGUUAAUGAGGCGAACCGGGGGAACUGAAACAUCUAAGUACCCCGAGGAAAAGAAAUCAACCGAGAUUCCCCCAGUAGCGGCGAGCGAACGGGGAGGAGCCCAGAGCCUGAAUCAGCAUGUGUGUUAGUGGAAGCGUCUGGAAAGGCGCGCGAUACAGGGUGACAGCCCCGUACACAAAAGCGCAUGUGCUGUGAGCUCGAUGAGUAGGGCGGGACACGUGGUAUCCUGUCUGAAUAUGGGGGGACCAUCCUCCAAGGCUAAAUACUCCUGACUGACCGAUAGUGAACCAGUACCGUGAGGGAAAGGCGAAAAGAACCCCGGCGAGGGGAGUGAAAAAGAACCUGAAACCGUGUACGUACAAGCAGUGGGAGCCCCACCACUAAGCCAGUGGUGAACUCCACAUACGCAUCCUUUGCUGAGGAUACGGUUAACGGAGCGAAAGCGACGUUCAACCGCAAAAGAAGCAGAGGGGGCUUAGUGGUGGGGUGACUGCGUACCUUUUGUAUAAUGGGUCAGCGACUUAUAUUCUGUAGCAAGGUUAACCGAAUAGGGGAGCCGGAGGGAAACCGAGUCUUAAUUGGGCGUUAAGUUGCAGGGUAUAGACCCGAAACCCGGUGAUCUAGCCAUGGGCAGGUUGAAGGUUGGGUAACACUAACUGGAGGACCGAACCGACUAAUGUUGAAAAAUUAGCGGAUGACCUGUGGCUGGGGGUGAAAGGCCAAUCAAACCGGGAGAUAGCUGGUUCUCCCCGAAAGCUAUUUAGGUAGCGCCUCGUGAAUUCAUCUCCGGGGGUAGAGCACUGUUUCGGCUAGGGGGCCAUCCCGGCUUACCAACCCGAUGCAAACUGCGAAUACCGGAGAAUGUUAUCACGGGAGACACACGGCGGGUGCUAACGUCCGUCGUGAAGAGGGAAACAACCCAGACCGCCAGCUAAGGUCCCAAAGUCAUGGUUAAGUGGGAAACGAUGUGGGAAGGCCCAGACAGCCAGGAUGUUGGCUUAGAAGCAGCCAUCAUUUAAAGAAAGCGUAAUAGCUCACUGGUCGAGUCGGCCUGCGCGGAAGAUGUAACGGGGCUAAACCAUGCACCGAAGCUGCGGCAGCGAACGUAUCACUUAAAGCGAUUCAGCGGAUGACGAUUGACGGAGCGAAGCGACGUCAAAGCGUAUACAAAGUCGAGUCGGUUUAAGGAUACGUUCGUUGGGUAGGGGAGCGUUCUGUAAGCCUGCGAAGGUGGCCUGUGAGGGUUGCUGGAGGUAUCAGAAGUGCGAAUGCUGACAUAAGUAACGAUAAAGCGGGUGAAAAGCCCGCUCGCCGGAAGACCAAGGGUUCCUGUCCAACGUUAAUCGGGGCAGGGUGAGUCGACCCCUAAGGCGAGGCCGAAAGGCGUAGUCGAUGGGAAACGGGUUAAUAUUCCCGUACUUGGUGUUACUGCGAAGGGGGGACGGAGAAGGCUAUGUUGGCCGGGCGACGGUUGUCCCGGUUUAAGCGUGUAGGUGUGUGUUCCAGGUAAAUCCGGUUCACUUUAACACUGAGGCGUGACGACGAGGCACUACGGUGCUGAAGCAACAAAUGCCCUGCUUCCAGGAAAAGCCUCUAAGCAUCAGGUAACAUCAAAUCGUACCCCAAACCGACACAGGUGGUCAGGUAGAGAAUACCAAGGCGCUUGAGAGAACUCGGGUGAAGGAACUAGGCAAAAUGGUGCCGUAACUUCGGGAGAAGGCACGCUGACAUGUAGGUGAAGUGAUUUACUCACGGAGCUGAAGUCAGUCGAAGAUACCAGCUGGCUGCAACUGUUUAUUAAAAACACAGCACUGUGCAAACACGAAAGUGGACGUAUACGGUGUGACGCCUGCCCGGUGCCGGAAGGUUAAUUGAUGGGGUCAGCGCAAGCGAAGCUCCUGAUCGAAGCCCCGGUAAACGGCGGCCGUAACUAUAACGGUCCUAAGGUAGCGAAAUUCCUUGUCGGGUAAGUUCCGACCUGCACGAAUGGCGUAAUGAUGGCCAGGCUGUCUCCACCCGAGACUCAGUGAAAUUGAACUCGCUGUGAAGAUGCAGUGUACCCGCGGCAAGACGGAAAGACCCCGUGAACCUUUACUAUAGCUUGACACUGAACAUUGAGCCUUGAUGUGUAGGAUAGGUGGGAGGCUUUGAAGUGUGGACGCCAGUCUGCAUGGAGCCAACCUUGAAAUACCACCCUUUAAUGUUUGAUGUUCUAACGUGGACCCGUGAUCCGGGUUGCGGACAGUGUCUGGUGGGUAGUUUGACUGGGGCGGUCUCCUCCUAAAGAGUAACGGAGGAGCACGAAGGUUGGCUAAUCCUGGUCGGACAUCAGGAGGUUAGUGCAAUGGCAUAAGCCAGCUUGACUGCGAGCGUGACGGCGCGAGCAGGUGCGAAAGCAGGUCAUAGUGAUCCGGUGGUUCUGAAUGGAAGGGCCAUCGCUCAACGGAUAAAAGGUACUCCGGGGAUAACAGGCUGAUACCGCCCAAGAGUUCAUAUCGACGGCGGUGUUUGGCACCUCGAUGUCGGCUCAUCACAUCCUGGGGCUGAAGUAGGUCCCAAGGGUAUGGCUGUUCGCCAUUUAAAGUGGUACGCGAGCUGGGUUUAGAACGUCGUGAGACAGUUCGGUCCCUAUCUGCCGUGGGCGCUGGAGAACUGAGGGGGGCUGCUCCUAGUACGAGAGGACCGGAGUGGACGCAUCACUGGUGUUCGGGUUGUCAUGCCAAUGGCACUGCCCGGUAGCUAAAUGCGGAAGAGAUAAGUGCUGAAAGCAUCUAAGCACGAAACUUGCCCCGAGAUGAGUUCUCCCUGAGACUUAAAGUCUCCUGAAGGAACGUUGAAGACGACGACGUUGAUAGGCCGGGUGUGUAAGCGCAGCGAUGCGUUGAGCUAACCGGUACUAAUGAACCGUGAGGCUUAACCUU